UCAGUACUGCCAACAGGAGGCUGCAGUCCCUGCCUGGGAUCCUAACCUCCACUCACCAGCUGGUAAAGCAAACCCUAGAACUCCACCUGGCUUAGGUCCCUAUUCUCAGGAGAUCAAAGAGCCACUGCAGCAAGUAGAGAGCUGCAAGAUUGGAACAUGGGAGGACAGGCAGAGGCAAAGUCUCGGUCAAUCUCUACAGCAGCUAGGCCAGGCACUCAACAUAUUUCAUAAACUAUCUGAGCUCUUAGAGCCCCACGCUGAGAAAACCACAAGAGAAAAUGUGAAGAUCAAGACCUUAACUCCAGAGUUGUACUUU
Long non-coding RNA from Leopardus geoffroyi (Geoffroy's cat), 316 nucleotides. RefSeq lists it as uncharacterized. The record is from RefSeq and is a predicted model, not a curated record. NCBI's taxonomy places the organism in Eukaryota, Metazoa, Chordata, Mammalia, Carnivora, Felidae. The transcript has 4 exons.